UACGUAGGUGGCGAGCGUUGUCCGGAUUUACUGGGCGUAAAGAGCGCGCAGGCGGUCGUUCAAGUCGCGUGUGAAAGCCCCCGGCUCAACUGGGGAGGGUCACGCGAUACUGAUCGACUCGAAGGCAGGAGAGGGUAGUGGAAUUCCCGGUGUAGUGGUGAAAUGCGUAGAUAUCGGGAGGAGCACCAGUGGCGAAGGCGACUACCUGGCCUGUCCUUGACGCUGAGGCGCGAAAGCUAGGGGAGCAAACGGG
RNAcentral lists this ribosomal RNA (253 nucleotides) under uncultured bacterium. RNAcentral describes it as "partial 16S ribosomal RNA". It matches the Rfam family "Bacterial small subunit ribosomal RNA", at positions 524 to 776 of the family's 1533-position model. The record is from RNAcentral.